GUGUGCACACAGAGUGUGAAAAAGCUAGCAGCGUGGUAAUCAUAGUAGCAACGUACGGAGAUACUGUCGAGAAACAGUUUUACAGGUUACCGCGUGAACUAGCAUUCAUAGCGGAGGAAGAACUACAGGAUUCCCUAGUAACUGCGAGUGAAGCGGGAAAAGCUCAAAUUUAAAAUCUGGUAGUCUCUGGCUACCCGAGUUGUAAUCUAGAGAAGCGUUAUCCGCGCUGGACCGUGUAUAAGUCUCCUGGAAUGGAGCGUCAUAGAGGGUGAGAAUCCCGUCUUUGACACGGACUACCAGGGCUUUGUGAUGCGCUCUCAAAGAGUCGAGUUGUUUGGGAAUGCAGCUCUAAAUGGGUGGUAAAUUCCAUCUAAAGCUAAAUAUUGGCGAGAGACCGAUAGCGAACAAGUACCGUGAGGGAAAGAUGAAAAGAACUUUGGAAAGAGAGUUAAACAGUACGUGAAAUUGUUGAAAGGGAAACGCUUGAAGUCAGUCGCGUUGGUCGGGGAUCAACCUUGCUUUUGCUUGGUGUACUUCCUGAUUAACGGGUCAGCAUCAAUUUUGACCAGUGGAAAAAGUUCGAGGGAAUGUGGCAUCUCCGGAUGUGUUAUAGCCCUUGUUCGUAUACAUUGGUUGGGAUUGAGGAACUCAGCACGCCGCAAGGCCGGGUUUUACCACGUUCGUGCUUAGGAUGCUGGCAUAAUGGCUUUAAUCGACCCGUCUUGAAACACGGACCAAGGAGUCUAACAUACCUGCGAGUGUUUGGGUGGAAAACCCAAGCGCGUAAUGAAAGUGAAAGUUGGGAUCUCUGUCGUGGGGAGCACCGACGCCCGGACCAGACCUUCUGUGACGGAUCCGCGGUAGAGCAUGUAUGUUGGGACCCGAAAGAUGGUGAACUAUGCCUGAAUAGGGUGAAGCCAGAGGAAACUCUGGUGGAGGCUCGUAGCGAUUCUGACGUGCAAAUCGAUCGUCGAAUUGGGUAUAGGGGCGAAAGACUAUCGAACAUCUAGUAGCUGGUCUGCCGA
This 1025-nucleotide ribosomal RNA is filed under the name Entoloma sp. RNAcentral describes it as "partial large subunit ribosomal RNA". It matches the Rfam family "Eukaryotic large subunit ribosomal RNA", at positions 1 to 964 of the family's 3401-position model. The record is from RNAcentral. Lineage: Eukaryota; Fungi; Basidiomycota; Agaricomycetes; Agaricales; Entolomataceae.